Molecule: long non-coding RNA, 921 nt
Organism: Peromyscus californicus insignis
Lineage: Eukaryota; Metazoa; Chordata; Mammalia; Rodentia; Cricetidae
Exons: 3
Source: RefSeq, a predicted model, not a curated record
CUCCAGUCCUCAGGCCCACCCAGCCUGAAUCCAACACAACUGAAGAAUAUGCAAGCUUGCACAGUUCUGGCUAUUUUGACUGCCUGGGCGGAAGACAAAUUAGGCCAGCUACCGGUUUGCUGUCACUGGCUGUUUGCUGCUUGAAGGUGAAUAUUUUGCUGUUGUUUAGAAGCAUGGAUGGAAACGACUGAUAAUCCCCCAAAGACAACAGAAAGCAAAAUGGGGGUGUGUUGCGCUGUGGCGGUAAUCUACGGUACACUGAAGAGCGUGAACUCUGCCACAGGCCAGUAUCUUGGGCAUUUUGCCCAAGAGGUCUGCUUUCAGCGCUCUGGGCGGAGGGUGGCACUCUCAAAACAGCUAGUGGAGUGACCAGCCUCCCUCCCAGUGUUUGGCAGACUUUCCCAGCUUCCAGUUCCAGCGGAGUUUUGAGCCCAUUCAAGAAUUCCAUCUCACAGAGAGUGUUUCCGAUACAGUCAUUUGAUCAGUCAGCGUUUGCCCAUGCACCUGCUAAGCAACUGGUCGAGAGCCACAGAGCCACGUCCCCCCAUCCUCCACCGGUAAUCCGAAGGACUCUUGCACACACGGCGGAGCGGCUGAGAUGCAAAGAACGAGCCAAAGGUCCAGGCUGCAGCCUGAGGUCAGGCUUCAAGUGUAGAGGCAAGGCGUCAACAUUCAGCACAGCAAAACCGAGGAGCCUCCGUCAAACAUCACAGUGCCAUCUGGCCAUCCCGAGAAAGGCUUCGCUUUCACAUUAAAAAUAUUGUGUUACUGUGUACCCUGGAAUGUCAAACAUACCUCUUGUUUUAUCAAAACACUCUUUAGAGGGGGAAAUAUCUAGCUAACGACCUGCCUGUCAAGAGGUAUUGCUCAAAAUAAAAGAAGUUCCAACAUUUACUGAGAAUCUAUUAUUUUACAGUUGUG